GUUAGAAUGGCAGAGUCCAGUAAUUGCAAAAGAUCUAAAAUCUUUUACCCAGAGGUUCAAUUCCCCUUUCUAACU
RNAcentral lists this transfer RNA (75 nucleotides) under Pseudohynobius shuichengensis. RNAcentral's name for it is "tRNA-Leu". It matches the Rfam family "tRNA". Rfam says of the family: Transfer RNA (tRNA) molecules are approximately 80 nucleotides in length. Their secondary structure includes four short double-helical elements and three loops (D, anti-codon, and T loops). Further hydrogen bonds mediate the characteristic L-shaped molecular structure. tRNAs have two regions of fundamental functional importance: the anti-codon, which is responsible for specific mRNA codon recognition, and the 3' end, to which the tRNAs corresponding amino acid is attached (by aminoacyl-tRNA synthetases). tRNAs cope with the degeneracy of the genetic code in two manners: having more than one tRNA (with a specific anti-codon) for a particular amino acid; and 'wobble' base-pairing, i.e. permitting non-standard base-pairing at the 3rd anti-codon position. Lineage: Eukaryota; Metazoa; Chordata; Amphibia; Caudata; Hynobiidae. The record is from RNAcentral.